This 2913-nucleotide ribosomal RNA is filed under the name Klebsiella pneumoniae. Its description in RNAcentral is "bacterial LSU rRNA". It matches the Rfam family "Bacterial large subunit ribosomal RNA". Lineage: Bacteria; Pseudomonadati; Pseudomonadota; Gammaproteobacteria; Enterobacterales; Enterobacteriaceae. The record is from RNAcentral.
GGGUUGUGAGGUUAAGCGACUAAGCGUACACGGUGGAUGCCCUCGCAGUCAGAGGCGAUGAAGGACGUGCUAAUCUGCGAAAAGCGUCGGUAAGGUGAUAUGAACCGUUACAGCCGGCGAUGUCCGAAUGGGGAAACCCAGUGCAAUUCGUUGCACUAUCGUUAACUGAAUACAUAGGUUAACGAGGCGAACCGGGGGAACUGAAACAUCUAAGUACCCCGAGGAAAAGAAAUCAACCGAGAUUCCCCCAGUAGCGGCGAGCGAACGGGGAGCAGCCCAGAGUCUGAAUCAGCUUGUGUGUUAGUGGAACGGUCUGGAAAGUCCGACGGUACAGGGUGAUAGUCCCGUACACCAAAAUGCACAGGUUGUGAACUCGAAGAGUAGGGCGGGACACGUGGUAUCCUGUCUGAAUAUGGGGGGACCAUCCUCCAAGGCUAAAUACUCCUGACUGACCGAUAGUGAACCAGUACCGUGAGGGAAAGGCGAAAAGAACCCCGGCGAGGGGAGUGAAAAAGAACCUGAAACCGUGUACGUACAAGCAGUGGGAGCACCUUCGGGUGUGACUGCGUACCUUUUGUAUAAUGGGUCAGCGACUUAUAUUCUGUAGCAAGGUUAACCGUAUAGGGGAGCCGCAGGGAAACCGAGUCUUAACUGGGCGUUAAGUUGCAGGGUAUAGACCCGAAACCCGGUGAUCUAGCCAUGGGCAGGUUGAAGGUUGGGUAACACUAACUGGAGGACCGAACCGACUAAUGUUGAAAAAUUAGCGGAUGACUUGUGGCUGGGGGUGAAAGGCCAAUCAAACCGGGAGAUAGCUGGUUCUCCCCGAAAGCUAUUUAGGUAGCGCCUCGUGAAUUCAUCUUCGGGGGUAGAGCACUGUUUCGGCUAGGGGGUCAUCCCGACUUACCAACCCGAUGCAAACUACGAAUACCGAAGAAUGUUAUCACGGGAGACACACGGCGGGUGCUAACGUCCGUCGUGAAGAGGGAAACAACCCAGACCGCCAGCUAAGGUCCCAAAGUCAUGGUUAAGUGGGAAACGAUGGGAAGGCACAGACAGCCAGGAUGUUGGCUUAGAAGCAGCCAUCAUUUAAAGAAAGCGUAAUAGCUCACUGGUCGAGUCGGCCUGCGCGGAAGAUGUAACGGGGCUAAACCAUGCACCGAAGCUGCGGCAGCGACACUAUGUGUUGUUGGGUAGGGGAGCGUUCUGUAAGCCUGCGAAGGUGACCUGUGAGGGUUGCUGGAGGUAUCAAGUGCGAAUGCUGACAUAAGUAACGAUAAAGCGGGUGAAAAGCCCGCUCGCCGGAAGACCAAGGGUUCCUGUCCAACGUUAAUCGGGGCAGGGUGAGUCGACCCCUAAGGCGAGGCCGAAAGGCGUAGUCGAUGGGAAACAGGUUAAUAUUCCUGUACUUGGUGUUACUGCGAAGGGGACGGAGAAGGCUAUGUUAGCCGGGCGACGGUUGUCCCGGUUUAAGCAUGUAGGCUGGUUGUCCAGGCAAAUCCGGAUAAUCAAGGCUGAGGUGUGAUGACGAGGCACUACGGUGCUGAAGUAACAAAUGCCCUGCUUCGGGAAAGCCUCUAAGCAUCAGGUAACAUCAAAUCGUACCCCAAACCGACACAGGUGGUCAGGUAGAGAAUACCAAGGCGCUUGAGAGAACUCGGGUGAAGGAACUAGGCAAAAUGGUGCCGUAACUUCGGGAGAAGGCACGCUGGUGUGUAGGUGAAGUCCCUGCGGAUGGAGCUGAGACCAGUCGAAGAUACCAGCUGGCUGCAACUGUUUAUUAAAACACAGCACUGUGCAAACACGAAAGUGGACGUAUACGGUGUGACGCCUGCCCGGUGCCGGAAGGUUAAUUGAUGGGGUUAUCCGUAGGAGAAGCUCUUGAUCGAAGCCCCGGUAAACGGCGGCCGUAACUAUAACGGUCCUAAGGUAGCGAAAUUCCUUGUCGGGUAAGUUCCGACCUGCACGAAUGGCGUAAUGAUGGCCAGGCUGUCUCCACCCGAGACUCAGUGAAAUUGAACUCGCUGUGAAGAUGCAGUGUACCCGCGGCAAGACGGAAAGACCCCGUGAACCUUUACUAUAGCUUGACACUGAACAUUGAGCCUUGAUGUGGUAGGAUAGGUGGAGGCUUUGAAGCGUGGACGCCAGUCUGCGUGGAGCCAACCUUGAAAUACCACCCUUUAAUGUUUGAUGUUCUAACGUUGGCCCCUGACCGGGGUUGCGGACAGUGUCUGGUGGGUAGUUUGACUGGGGCGGUCUCCUCCCAAAGCGUAACGGAGGAGCACGAAGGUUAGCUAAUCCUGGUCGGACAUCAGGAGGUUAGUGCAAUGGCAUAAGCUAGCUUGACUGCGAGCGUGACGGCGCGAGCAGGUGCGAAAGCAGGUCAUAGUGAUCCGGUGGUUCUGAAUGGAAGGGCCAUCGCUCAACGGAUAAAAGGUACUCCGGGGAUAACAGGCUGAUACCGCCCAAGAGUUCAUAUCGACGGCGGUGUUUGGCACCUCGAUGUCGGCUCAUCACAUCCUGGGGCUGAAGUAGGUCCCAAGGGUAUGGCUGUUCGCCAUUUAAAGUGGUACGCGAGCUGGGUUUAGAACGUCGUGAGACAGUUCGGUCCCUAUCUGCCGUGGGCGCUGGAGAAUUGAGGGGGGCUGCUCCUAGUACGAGAGGACCGGAGUGGACGCAUCACUGGUGUUCGGGUUGUCAUGCCAAUGGCACUGCCCGGUAGCUAAAUGCGGAAGAGAUAAGUGCUGAAAGCAUCUAAGCACGAAACUUGCCCCGAGAUGAGUUCUCCCUGAGACUUUAAGUCUCCUGAAGGAACGUUAAAGACGAUGACGUUGAUAGGCCGGGUGUGUAAGCGCAGCGAUGCGUUGAGCUAACCGGUACUAAUGAACCGUGAGGCUUAACCUUACAACGCCGAAG